CCACUUCACACAAUUACAUGAAUAAAGCAUUACAUCAUCCAGAUACAAUCAAGGUCCGACUACGGAACCAAAAUAAAAGAAGAACCCCAAAUGCGACAAAGGUCCCCGAUCGACCCCAACUGGGCUCCACUACUGAUCAACUAGAAUGAAACAACACAAAGGGCAAGAUCUUCAUCGAGCUCCUCCUUGAGCUUGGUUGCGUCACCUGCUCGGUAACAUAGGCACCUGCAAACUGGUUUUGGAAGUAUCUGGUGAGCCAUGGGGACUCAGCAAUCUCGCACCCGCGAGAUCAAGACUAUUUAAGCUUAUAGGAAGGAUGGAGUAAUGAGGUGGAGCUGCAGCAAGCGACUAGCAUAUAUGGUGGCUAACAUACGCAAAUGAGAGCGAGAAGAGAAGGCAAAGCACGGUCGAUAAAAGUAUGAUCAAGAAGUGAUCCUAUAGCAACCUACGUCAAGCAUAACUCCAACACCGUGUUCACUUCCCGGACUCCGCCGGAAAGAGACCAUCACGGUUACACACACGGUUGAUGUAUUUUAAUUAAGGUCAACUUCGGGUUUUCUACAAUCGGACGUUAACAAAUUCCUAUCUGCCCAUAACCGCGGGCACGGCUCUCGAAAGUUCAAAUCCCUGCAGGGGUGUCCCAACUUAGCCCAUCACAAGCUCUCACGGUCAACGAAGGAAUAGACCUCCACCCGAGACAUUCCGAUCAGACUCGGUAUCCCGGUACAACAAGACAUUUCGACAGGGUAAAACUAAACCAGCAACACCGCCCGAAUGUGCCGACAAAUCCCGAUAGGAGCUGCACAUAUCUCUUUCUCAGGGCACACUCAGAUGAGAAAUCCGUACAACUAAAACCAAACCUCGAGUUUCCCCGAGGGGGCGCUGCACAGGGCUCUAGUUCGGACUUACACUCAGAGGAGCACUGGCCCGGGGGGGUUAGAAUAAAGAUGACCCUUGAGUCUGCAGAACCCAAGGGAAGGUGGUAGGUUGUUAGUGCAAAUGGUAAAACCAAUGUUGGGCAUUGCUGGAAGAGCUUUACUUAAGGCGAACUGUCAAGGGGUUCCCAUUAUAGCCCAACCGUGUAAGGAACGCAAAAUCCGGGAACAUAACACCGAUAUGACGGAAACUAGGGCGGCAAGAGUGGAACAAAACACCAGGCAUAAGGCCGAGCCUUCCACCCUUUACCAAGUAUAUAGAUGCAUUAAUUAAAUAAGAUAUAUUGUGAUAUCCCAACAAGUAAACAUGUUCCAACAAGGAACAACAUCUCCAUGUUCCAACAAGGAACAAACUUCAAUCUUCACCUGCAACUAACAACGCUAUAAGAGGGGCUGAGCAAAGCGGCAACAUAGCCAAUCAACGGUUUGCUAGGACAGGGUGGGUUAGAGGUUUGACAUGGCAAUUUGGGAGGCUGACAAGCAAAAGGUAGGCAUCGUAGCAUUGGCAUAGCAAAAGAGCGAGCAAACUAGCAUAGCAAAGAUAGUAGUGAUUUCGAGGGUAUGAUCAUCUUGCCUGAAAUCCCGCAAGGAAGAAGAACGAGUCCAUGAAGAAGACAAACGGACGUAGUCGAACGAAUCCUCACAACUCCGGAACGAAACCGAAGCUAACAAGAGAAGCAAACCGGAAAGAAGCAAACAACCAUGGUAAACACACAAGCAUAGUCAAGGCAUGAUGCACAAUCAAGUAUGAUGCAUGUCCGGUUUAAUGAGGCAUGGCAUGGCAAUGUGCACAAACAAUCCUACAAAUUAAGUGGAGCUCAAUAUGCAACGAGGUGCAUGUUGACGGAACACCACAUCAAUCAUUUAGUUAUCUCUCAUUUAAGCUACCCAACAAUAUUAACUGUUGUUAAACAGGGCAAGCGGGUGAAGCAAAAUAUAAACUAUACCAUCUAAACAAUUUAAAUGGGGCCGGAUAUAAAAACAACAAAUCCGGUAAAUCCCCAUAUGCAUUUAGCAAUUUAAUGCAACAACAAGUUUAAACAUUUUAAAUGUUGUUAUCAUGAUGCGGAUGACAUAUACAAGUUUUAUGCAAUUUUAUGAAAAUGUUGACAUGAGCAUGUUAUGAAGCAUUUGGUCACCAUGGCGGAACAAAAAGGGUGCCACAGCGGCGAAACAAAAAUGGUGCCACGGCAACAUUCCGGUCCCGAUAGCUCAUGGAGAUACCGGUGCAAAAGGAAAAGUGACGAGAGCGUGACAUGCGAUAGAAGGUGGGGUGAUCCCGGUUACCGGGUUCCCACGGUUCAUCGGCAUGGCGAACGAGGAGGAACGUGCAUGAAGCAAACGGGCACGGUGCAAACAUAGGGUGCAUCUCAUACAAGCAAGGGCAUCUCAUCGCGGUCGUCGUCUCGGGGUUAUACCUUCGAAGCGUGCGUUUCGGGCGGAUCGAGUUCGUAGAGGGAAGUAGACGUUCACGGGCGUCGUGGAAGUAGUGGUACACGUUCGUUUUCGGAGAGGUACUUGACGAAUCCAACAUCUUCGGGGCGACGGUAGUGGUUCACGGACGUCGUGGAAGUAGUUGUUCUUGCAGCAGUCGUGGAAGUAGACGUUCACGUUUGGAGAGGAACUUGUCGCAACCAAGUCCUUCGGGGCUCGUCGGUAGUGGUACUUGGCGAAAUGCACGUCGACGGUAGUCGUUCUAGGCAGGAAACAGUAGUUGUACACGGGUCUUCGGCGUCGAGGUACUUGGCGUUCCAAAACAGAGCAACACCAAAAGGCCUAGGGUCUUGGCGAUGUAGAUGAACACGAGGUCCUGCCCGGGGCUGGUCUUGGCCUUGGCGUUCCUGGUCGAUGAGGGCGAGCGGAGGCGCAUCCUCCUCCCUGCUCGAACAAGGCAGAGGCGGGGCAUGGGGCUGCUCCUGCAAAGGGGCGACAGGAGCCGGACGGUGGCGCUCGGGGAUGGCUGAGGCGGAACCAGAUGGCGAGGCGGCAAGCUUGGUGCGGGCGCCGGGGCCGCCGGAGUUGGCCGAGCUCGGGGGCGAGCUCCUGGCUGGCAAGGGGAGCGAGGAGCGCGGGACGGCAGCCAGCAGCGGCUCCUGUGGCCGGCGGGCGGAGGUCCAGGAGAGGUGGAGAAGUGGUGGCGCGGGCGAGGUCGGCGCUGCGGCGCAGCUCGACGGCGACAAGGCAGCAGAGGGACGCGGGCAGGAGGUGAAGAAGACGACGCAGCAGCGGGACGAUGGGGAUGGACGGAGGAGAUGGGCUCGCCGGCCAGAACGACGGCGCAGCGGCAGAGGAAGAAGGGGCGUGAGGGAGGAGAUCGAGGGGAGAUGGGGAUCGAGCGAGGAGCUCUCGCUCCUCUCUGGCGGCGCGAGCAGGGGAAGGAGAUGGGGAUCGAGGAGAGGUAGAUGGCGGCGUGAGGGAUCGGGCGAGAAGAGAGGACGAGGGAGAUGGGAUCGGGAGAAGGGUGCGGCUAGGGUUAGAAGGCAGGGGCCGGCUGGGCCUUGGGAUGCGGAUGGAGCAGGCGCUGGCUGAGCUAAUGGGCCGGCCGGGUGGCCGAGGCCCAGGUAGCUGAUGCCGCUGCUUUUUUAUUUCUUCAGACAGAAAUACAAAAAGGAAAAAGCAGGGGGAAAAGGAGAGGAGCUAGAGAAAUAUAAAAAUAUAUUCAUGAUCCUGAAAAUGUGCUCUAUUUAACAAAAUUGGUUUGGAGAUUUUAAAGGAAGAAAAAUAAUUCAAGUUUGAAUUAAACUCAAACUUGAAGCAUUUUAAACCCUAACCAAAACAAUUUCAAAAGAGAUGAAAUUUGACAGAGAGGUUGAGGGCAUGGUCGAGAAUUUAUAGGAUAAAUAGAGAAGGGGAAAGUGGCACUUGCAAAAGAAAGGAACUAGAAGGAAAAGAGAAGGAGAUGAUGCAUGGGACAAAGGCAUUGGGAUAUUUUGCAAGUGUGUUUGCGGUAAUUCCAAACGAGUGGAAUAUUUUUAUUUAGCUCCCUAAUAUUGGGAGGAUAUGUUAUAAAGAGAAUCAUCGUGUGAGUCCCUCGAUUUAAAUGGAUCGAAAAAUCCAUACAAUUUAUUUAGUUGAGGUUUUAAAAAUUAAUGAUAUGAUGGCAUGAUGACAUGAUGCAAUGCACAUGAUGCAAGGAUGAAUGCAACAAAUAAAACAAAUCACACGACGAAACUCGGAGUAGCUGGAAGUCUUCUGGAGCGUCGGUCUCGGGGCGUUACAACACUCCACCACUACGAGAGGAUCUCGUCCCGAGAUCUAGAAUGGCACCGAAGAGAAACGGAAGAGGAAGAGAAGAGGUAAACCUAAGUUGCUUCUUCGACCAAUGAGUGAAACCAAAGAACCUUGAGAGGUUGAGCAAUUUAAAAGAAAGAGCACAACUGAGAAGAACUCCGUUAGAAAAAAAAAGGAACAAGGAACAUUACGAGAACUUGAAGGUUGCAAAGACAUGAAUCAAGAGUUUAAUGGACAAGAUAGAAUUCGAAACCACUCCGGUUAAAACAAGAUGAGAGGGGAAGAAUUCGGGCAGUACUCCGGUUGAACAUGGAAGGAAUAGAACAUGAACUUGAGAAGAUGGGAUGUUACUUGAUGAAAUCAACAACACACUGCCUCCGGAACUAUUGAAAGAAUGGCACAAUGGGUAAGAAGGAUUUCAGACAGCUCUCCAGUUGAGGAAGGAGGGAAAACUUGAUAAGAUUAGAGAACUCGAAUGAAAACACGACACUCCGGUUAAAUGGAUAAGCAAGAAAAGAACACGAUCCUCACGAAUCGAGAUGGUGAGUGAAAAGAGCAACGUCACAAUGCCUCCGAAAGAAAUAAUAGAAGAUAUAUCAUUGGAAUAACAGAAUGGAGAAGAAAAUGCCAACUUCUGCCACAAAUGAGUUUGGAAAGCAUCCUUGCAAAGAAGAAUUGAACGAAGUUGUUGGAAAAUCAACAACGAAAAGCACAAGCUUGUAGUGGGCUUAUGGAAAACAUCUCAAAAUUAUGAGCUGAGAACCGGCCACUAACGGAAACGAUUGCUAGCUUUAGAUCGACGAAGAGAUGAACACUUCUUCCACCAAGAUGAUAAAGAGAUAACUUGGAUCAUUGGCAAGCACCACAAAUAGCAACAUUCCAAUGGAAGGCUUUUAGGUGAAAUAUGACACAAGAUAACUCCAACAACGAGGUUGAUGGAUUUAAAAAUAACUCAUUCUUAACAACAUGUGAAUCAUGGAACAUGAACUCAAAUUAUCAAGAAUGACAUAAUACCACCUCCAAAAUAUGGUAGAAAGAAUUGCACUCCGGAUUACCAUAUGAAGAAAGCUUGAGCUCCUUAGGAAAGAAUCUCGAUGAAAACUUUGAGAAGGGAAUUAAAUCCUUGAUGAACCAUCAUGUAGAACCUCCAUGAAGAACUCCGGUAAACAAAAGGAAUGAAAAGAAAGAGAAAUUGAAAACACAAGGUGAAUCCUUGCAAUGAUUUAGAUGGACCUCCGUGAUAAUUAGAGCUUGGAACUCCGGGAAAAAGAGAAGAUGGAACAAAUGAAACCGAGAAUUUUAAGGGCCUCCGGAAUAAAGAAUUAAUCACUUGGAUGAACAAGAAUAAGAAUUAUGUUAUGCUUAUCCUUCACCAAUUAAAUUGACGACAAUCAACGGAUUUGGCAUACUACUUAUUCUCGUAGAAAGGAUUAAAAGAGAUAUAGCGCAAACUUGAGAAAGUCUUCAAUGAUCCACCGGUAGAAUUGAAAUAACAAAUACAUUGAUAUGAUGAACAAGGAAGAGAGAUCUUGAAAGAACCACCGUAAGAAUUGAAAAUGAUCGAAGUAGGGGUGCAUCACCGGUAAGAAUUAGCAAAUGAACGAAGGUGCUUGAGACAAACUAGAUACAUGAGAACAAAGAGAUCAAGAACUGAUUAGAGGAUAUUCGAUAGAUGCACCGGCAAGAUAGGAGAAUGAUAACGGACGGCUGAGAAUGAAUAAACCUGAAUUGAUGGACUCCGGAUGACAAACUGAGAAGACUCUUGAAUAUCUCCUGAUGGGUGAAAAAGAUUCUCACAAUCGAAAACAAUUAUGAGAGGAUGGCAACAAGCUAGCACCAUGAAUCUUGAAGAGAAUAGAGCAAGAUUAAAGAGAAACUCUUCUUCGGUCUUCAAAUGAUGAGAAUGACAACGAGAAACACCACCAAGAAUUAUUGAGGCACACCGGAAGAAUCAAAAGCGAAGAGGUUGAGCCAACUAUGAAAAGAAUUUGAAAGAUCUUGGAGAAAAGCAUUUGACUAAUGAUAACUCAUUCUUACGUCAAACUUGGAGAAGAAUUUAGGAUAGCUCUGGGAAAAUAGAAGAGUCAGGUAAGAUCCUGGGAAAAGACCUGUGGGUUAGGGCCCACUCAAAAGAACACCGUUGAAAAGAUUUAAAAGAGAUGUUGCACCGGUUGAAUUAAAUGACUUGAAUGAGAUACCAAUCUCGAAAGAGCUUGAACGAAUGUAGAGUGGAAACACAAAUCUUCGAGAUAUCUUGAGCACUCCGGAACAAUUUAAUAGCGAGAGAUGGAUGAUUAAGAGGUGCACCGGCAUAAGAAAAGCAUUGGGAAAAAAAAGAGGAGUAUGCUUAAUACCAAAGCUUGAAUUAAAUCCACCGGAGAAGAAAAGAACGAGGAAUGACGAACUUGAAGCUCCAUUAGAAUCUUCAUGAGAAUCACCGGAUAAGAACAUUGACGGAAAAGAAUGGAGAAACUUCCCAUCAAUAAAAUGGAUACUUGAAGAAGAAAUCUUAGUCCUUGAAGAAAAACAAAAGGGAGGGAGGGUGGGAAAAACAAAGGCAACUUGGAGACGAAUGAAACAAACACCGUUGAGAAGAAGUGAUAAAUGAUCUUGCAAAUGUUGACGUGAACGGAUCCACUUGAGGAGAGACACACCGGUUAAAAAAAAGGAUUGACAAGACAGACUCGAUGAUCAAGAAGGAUUAGUAUUCACAUAGGAAUAUGAGAACACCAUUUAGAAAAGGUAUGGAAUCAACAUUUGACUUCGAAGCAACUCGAAUACCACAACUCAAAACAAAACAAAGGAUUGGCUUGCAAAAUAAGCCAGAACAAACAUAUGAUAGAGAUUUCGUCCGAAGUUUUCGUGGUGGGGCCUACACGGGCUCGAUCGUACAGCACCAUCAUGUACAAGGCAGUGCACAUGACAUAUGAAGCGUCCCCGAGUCAGCAUAGCCAAGGACUCUUUAAGACACAACGAGAGCACUGUAAAACCAACCGUGAAUAGGCGGACCACUAGACGUCGAACCCCAAUUUCAUAUCAUACAUCCGUCGGAAAGAUAUCCUAAGAGCUACUUGAGUUCCCACCUAUGAAACUCCCGAAAUUUUCAGGUUAUGCAAUCAGGUGUUGGGGAUACAGGGGAAGCAUAAUAUCUCACCCAAAACUAACAAAUCCUACAUCCAGCUGUAUCCAUCCUUCAACACAUAACCAAGAAACCUUCGGAAAUCGUCUACCUCAACCUUCGAAAAGCAUCCGUUAUACAAGUCAUGGCAAUACUCCCAUACUCACCUCAGUACUGGGUUAUCGGGGUUAUCUCACCAACAACUGCAUAAAAGAGAUUUUCGAUGUCGGCGUACUAAACUCAGGUAUUCCAGAACUGCAACGAUAAAAUUAUGACGACAACACCUCAGAGCUCAACUCCCCGGGACACUUCCACUAAACCCCUGACAGGAGGCACCAAGACAAUGUUCUCAUCAUAAAACCAUCGGAACGAUUCUAAGAUACCCGCGUGAUCCUAAAAAAAAAAUUAGUGAAAUUUGAGAAGAGAAGAGUCAAAACUCUACGUCAGGAUGCCUUACCAGAGCGAUGAGGAGACUGGGAAGUAAAAAGAAUUCCUAACUCUCCGAUAUAUAAUUCCUAAAUGACUCAAAACAUUUUUCUAGACACAACUCGGCUGCUAAAAACGAUCAAGCAAUGGGGGGCUCCUAAGGUCGGGGAAGGCUCUGAUUACCAACUUGUAACGCCCUCGAUGCGGCUAUAUCUCCCACGUGUCGAAGCACGACUUAGAGGCAUAACCGCAUUGAAAGCAAUGUCGCAAGUGAGGUAAUCUUCACACAACCCAUGUAAUACAUAAGGGAAAGAGAUACAUAGUUGGCUUACAAUCGCCACUUCACACAAUUACAUGAAUAAAGCAUUACAUCAUCCAGAUACAAUCAAGGUCCGACUACGGAACCAAAAUAAAAGAAGAACCCCAAAUGCGACAAAGGUCCCUGAUCGACCCCAACUGGGCUCCACUACUGAUCAACUAGAAUGAAACAACACAAAGGGCAAGAUCUUCAUCGAGCUCCUCCUUGAGCUUGGUUGCGUCA
RNAcentral lists this long non-coding RNA (8251 nucleotides) under Triticum aestivum (bread wheat). RNAcentral's name for it is "long non-coding RNA (TAES_LNC024382)". The record is from RNAcentral. Lineage: Eukaryota; Viridiplantae; Streptophyta; Magnoliopsida; Poales; Poaceae.